RNAcentral lists this ribosomal RNA (1818 nucleotides) under Triticum aestivum (bread wheat). Its description in RNAcentral is "partial small subunit ribosomal RNA". Lineage: Eukaryota; Viridiplantae; Streptophyta; Magnoliopsida; Poales; Poaceae. The record is from RNAcentral.
GAGCGGCCGCCGCCGCCGCAGUCGGUACGGGUACCUACGCCCCUUGUUGCCCUUUGUCGCCGACGUCCUGUUCAAGCUGGAGGAACGCUUCCUCGUUCCCAUGGCCUCAGCGCGCCGGAAGUUCGACGAGGUCGAGCUGUGCGAGAAGGCAAAAGAGGGCUGCCGAGCGCGCCACGAACUAGAGACGCGGCGCGGACCCCCCACCCAGGUCCACCGGCAGUCGGCGCGGCGGGGGCCGCGGAAGCAGCAGCCGCAGCUGGAGCGCGGGUAGGCGGGGUAGGCGCCGCGAGAGAGAGAGUUCCUUCUGUAUUGACGGUCACGGUCCACGCCGCGGCGGCACGCCGCCGAGUACCUGAGCUCCCCGCAGUGCAGUAAACUUCAGCAGGAGGUGCUGCCACAACCUGCUUUCUUUUUCUCUCCUUUAGCAAGGCACACGCCACCGUUGUCACGUAGCCGACGCGUCCUCCGGUGUUGGUGCGUCAGUCGCGAACAGUACCUGCGGCACGCGGAUCGAUGGUACAAGGAGCGGGGGUUACCGUGGAAGUAGUGGUUCAAGAAGUCCACAGUUCUAAUGUUCCGACAUUACAAGACGGACUUUGUCGAUAAACUCGCACAAGUAGACUCAUCUGGACAUCGUUCAACCAGGUGCGGACGACUUUAAAUACAAUAGACAGACUCUAUAUUUCGGGGACGUUUAUAAGUUGGUCUUGAAGAACUAAACUUCGUGGACGUGAACAACUCACACCUACGUCUCUUUGCGUUCGCCGUCCUUUCGUGUCUUUAGACCUUUUGACCAGAUCGUAGUCUAAAAUAUACCAGACUCCGGGUCUGUGGUGAUCUCAAAGAACCAAGGAAAAACUGUUAAAGUAAACUGCUAGGUCGUAGAGACGGAUAGUUCUUAGUACUCGAAUGAUGUCUACUCCAUCACCUCAUAACGGACGGAUCGAAGAGAAGACAGAAUCAAUACUGGGACCAACGAACAUGGAAACGACAGAUCGUCUAUUUUGUUGAGACACUUAUAAACAAACACGAUGCACUUUUACCGAUGUUAGUAGACAACCUCACUGUGGUUCCUGACUACCCUGACGCUGCCUGUUGUUCCCGUCUCUUCCACUGGUUUAAAAUGUACUUCACCUUCCAAACUUCUUACAACAACUAUCUUUCUCUUACUCUCACUUCACAGUUAGUUCCGGAGUACGUUCCCCAUUUCGUGUGCUCCGUAGUCCUUACGUUUAACUACGACGUCUUCUACCAAUACCACUAGGACUGAACAAGGGAUGAACGCGAUAACUCCCACCUUUUCUUGAAGCUCGACAACUCAGUGGUGACGAUCUAAGCCUUCUUCUGUAGUCUUUGUCACUCUUGCUUCUUUGAGUUCGAAUACUCCUGAGACCACUCCUUUACCUAAUACUAGUUCUUGUUGUCUCCAUACCGCGAGUCUAGUUCCCCUGCGAGCUACUUCGAGUACACGGAAAACACUGAUUUUCCACACCUCUUCAGUUUGCAGGCUCGUUUGCACGUUUCGUUUGGUUAGGGAUACUGUUAUGUCUCUACUUCCAGUUGUCCAGAUCGUCUAGCCGAGUCCCUUCUUCCCACCCGUCACCUCCGAGGUUUCCUCCCUUUCCCUUCUUCCCGCGACCACCGGCCUUUCCUCCGUACGCUGCCUUUCGAUCCGUCUUCCGGCCGUUUCGGCUACUUGACCUUUGUAUUGAGGACGACUUUAAAGGUCGAUCGGUCGUACAGUCUAUCGAUCGACAACAAAAAUAUGUAACAUGAGGGAAACCGAGACCUUUCUGGUUAUUUAAAAGAGGCUCUAGC